Molecule: ribosomal RNA, 635 nt
Filed under: uncultured bacterium
Lineage: Bacteria
Description: bacterial SSU rRNA
Rfam family: Bacterial small subunit ribosomal RNA
Source: RNAcentral
GGAUGGCUUGAGUGUGGUAGAGGCAAGUGGAAUUCCAUGUGUAGCGGUAAAACGCGUAAAUAUAUGGAGGAACACCAGUGGCGAAGGCGGCUUGCUGGGCCAUAACUGACACUGAGGCACGAAAGCGUGGGGAGCAAACAGGAUUAGAUACCCUGGUAGUCCACGCCGUAAACGAUGAGUACUAAGUGUAGGAGAAAUUCUGUGCUGUAGUUAACGCAAUAAGUACUCCGCCUGAGUAGUACGUACGCAAGUAUGAAACUCAAAGGAAUUGACGGGACCCCGCACAAGCGGUGGAUCAUGUUGUUUAAUUCGAUGAUACGCGAAGAACCUUACCAGGUCUUGACAUCCCCUGCAAAGCUAUGGAGACAUAGUGGAGGUUAUCAGGGAGACAGGUGGUGCAUGGUUGUCGUCAGCUCGUGUCGUGAGAUGUUGGGUUAAGUCCCGCAACGAGCGCAACCCUUAUUGCUAGUUACCAUCAUUAAGUUGGGGACUCUAGCGAGACUGCCAGUGAUAAACUGGAGGAAGGUGGGGAUGACGUCAAAUCAUCAUGCCCCUUAUGACCUGGGCUACAAACGUGAUACAAUGGCUGAAACAAAGGGCAGCGAAGCAGUGAUGUGGAGCGAAACCCAAAAAAG